UGGUUGGGCAAUCAAGAGAGAUGGUUCAGG
RNAcentral lists this non-coding RNA (30 nucleotides) under Mus musculus (house mouse). Lineage: Eukaryota; Metazoa; Chordata; Mammalia; Rodentia; Muridae. The record is from RNAcentral.